RNAcentral lists this unclassified non-coding RNA (195 nucleotides) under plant metagenome. RNAcentral's name for it is "partial contains small subunit ribosomal RNA, internal transcribed spacer 1, and 5.8S ribosomal RNA". The record is from RNAcentral.
UCUCCGCUGGUGAACCAGCGGAGGGAUCAUUACCGAGUUUACAACUCCCAAACCCCUGUGAACAUACCAUUUGUUGCCUCGGCGGUGCCUGCUUCGGCAGCCCGCCAGAGGACCCAAACCCUUGAUUUUAUACAGUAUCUUCUGAGUAAAUGAUUAAAUAAAUCAAAACUUUCAACAACGGAUCUCUUGGUUCUG